This 422-nucleotide RNase P RNA is filed under the name Primorskyibacter flagellatus. RNAcentral describes it as "Pseudooceanicola flagellatus Bacterial RNase P class A". It matches the Rfam family "Bacterial RNase P class A". Rfam says of the family: Ribonuclease P (RNase P) is a ubiquitous endoribonuclease, found in archaea, bacteria and eukarya as well as chloroplasts and mitochondria. Its best characterised activity is the generation of mature 5'-ends of tRNAs by cleaving the 5'-leader elements of precursor-tRNAs. Cellular RNase Ps are ribonucleoproteins. The record is from Rfam by way of RNAcentral. Lineage: Bacteria; Pseudomonadati; Pseudomonadota; Alphaproteobacteria; Rhodobacterales; Roseobacteraceae.
GCGGAGGGCCGGAUGGCCGCGGGGCAGCAAUGUUCCGAGGAAAGUCCGGACUCCCUGAGGCAACGGUGCCGGGUAACGCCCGGGCAGGGCAACCUGACGGAAAGCGCCACAGAAAACAGACCGCCUGUCAUACCGGAGGUACGCCAAAGGAAAUUAUGACGGGUAAGGGUGAAACGGUGCGGUAAGAGCGCACCGGGGGCGUGGCAACACGCGCCGCAUGGCAAGCCCCACCGGGAGCAAUGCCGAAUAGGGACCUCGGGCGGGUUGAUCGGGCAACCGACAUCACCGCAGGGCUGCUUCAGCCCAGAGGUCCGGGUUGGCAGCUAAAGGCGUCUGGCAACAGGCGCCGUAGAGGAAUGGUCAUCGAACCCAGGGUUUCGGCCCCGGGGGAACAGAAUCCGGCUUACAGGCCCUCCGCGCAA